RNAcentral lists this ribosomal RNA (1230 nucleotides) under uncultured organism. RNAcentral's name for it is "bacterial SSU rRNA". It matches the Rfam family "Bacterial small subunit ribosomal RNA", at positions 234 to 1455 of the family's 1533-position model. The record is from RNAcentral.
CGUCCCAUUAGCUUGUUGGUGGGGUAAUGGCCUACCAAGGCGACGAUGGGUAGCCGGCCUGAGAGGGUGUCCGGCCACACUGGGACUGAGAUACGGCCCAGACUCCUACGGGAGGCAGCAGUCGAGAAGCUUCGGCAAUGGGCGAAAGCCUGACCGAGCGACGCCGCGUGAGCGAUGAAGGUCCUAUGGAUUGUAAAGCUCUGUCAGAUUGGGAAGAAAACUUCGCGAUUAAUACCCGCGAAGCUUGACGGUACCAUCAGAGGAAGCACCGGCUAACUCCGUGCCAGCAGCCGCGGUAAUACGGAGGGUGCGAGCGUUGUUCGGAUUCACUGGGUAUAAAGGGUGCGUAGGCGGCCUCGUAAGUCAGGGGUGAAAUAUGACGGCUCAACCGUCAAACUGCCCCUGAAACUGCAAGGCUUGAGUCCGGGAGAGGAAGGUGGAAUUCCUGGUGUAGCGGUGAAAUGCGUAAAUAUCAGGAGGAACACCGGUGGCGAAGGCGGCCUUCUGGUCCGGUACUGACGCUGAGGCACGAAAGCUAGGGGAGCGAACAGGAUUAGAUACCCUGGUAGUCCUAGCCGUAAACGAUGGGCACUAGGUGUCGGAGGAGUCUACCCCUUCGGUGCCGCAGCUAAUGCAUUAAGUGCCCCACCUGGGGAGUACGAUCGCAAGGUUGAAACUCAAAGGAAUUGACGGGGGCCCGCACAAGCGGUGGAGCAUGUGGUUUAAUUCGAUGCAACGCGAAGAACCUUACCUGGGCUUGACAUGCAGGGGACAGGUGCAGAAAUGUACCCUUCUUCGGACCCCUGUGCAGGUGCUGCAUGGCUGUCGUCAGCUCGUGUCGUGAAAUGUUGGGUUAAGUCCCGCAACGAGCGCAACCCCUGUCUUCAGUUGCCAUCAGUUCGGCUGGGGACUCUGGAGAGACUGCCGGUGACAAACCGGAGGAAGGUGGGGACGACGUCAAGUCAUCAUGGCCCUUACGCCCAGGGCUACACACGUGCUACAAUGGUCGGUACAAUGGGCAGCAAUACCGUGAGGUGGAGCGAAUCCCAAAAAGCCGGCCUCAGUUCGGAUUGGAGUCUGCAACUCGACUCCAUGAAGUCGGAAUCGCCAGUAAUCGCGUAUCAGCAUCACGCGCUGAAUACGUUCCCGGGCCUUGUACACACCGCCCGUCAAGUCAACCGAGUUGGCUGCACCCCAAGUCGCUGAGCUCACCCGUAAGGGAGGCAGGUG